AGCAGCCGCGGUAAUUCCAGCUCCAAUAGCGUAUAUUAAAGUUGUUGCAGUUAAAAAGCUCGUAGUUGAAUUUCGGGGUCAGUAGGUUGGUCGUGCCACUGGUACGUACUGGUCUCACUGAUUCCUCCUUCCUGAGGAACCGUAAUGCCAUUAAUUUGGUGUUGCGGGGAAACAGGACUGUUACUUUGAAAAAUUAGAGUGUUUAAAGCAGGCUAACGCUUGAAUACAUUAGCAUGGAAUAAUGAAAUAGGACGAUCGAUCCUAUUUUGUUGGUUUCUAGGAUUGACGUAAUGAUUAAUAGGGAUAGUUGGGGGCAUUAGUAUUCAAUUGUCAGAGGUGAAAUUCUUGGAUUUAUUGAAGACUAACUACUGCGAAAGCAUUUGCCAAGGAUGUUUUCAUUAAUCAAGAACGAAAGUUAGGGGAUCGAAGACGAUCAGAUACCGUCGUAGUCUUAACCAUAAACUAUGCCGACUAGGGAUCGGAUGAUGUUAAUUUUAUAAUGACUCAUUCGGCGCCUUAA
Molecule: ribosomal RNA, 520 nt
Filed under: uncultured Glomus
Lineage: Eukaryota; Fungi; Glomeromycota; Glomeromycetes; Glomerales; Glomeraceae
Description: SSU rRNA
Rfam family: Eukaryotic small subunit ribosomal RNA
Source: RNAcentral